GACGAACGCUGGCGGCGUGCUUAACACAUGCAAGUCGAGCGGUAAGGCCCUUUCGGGGGUACACGAGCGGCGAACGGGUGAGUAACACGUGGGUGACCUGCCCUCAGCUCUGGGAUAAGCCUGGGAAACUGGGUCUAAUACUGGAUAUGACUCCACGGUGCAUGUCGUGGGGUGGAAAGCCUUGUGCGGCUGAGGAUGGGCCCGCGGCCUAUCAGCUUG
This 219-nucleotide ribosomal RNA is filed under the name uncultured bacterium. RNAcentral describes it as "partial 16S ribosomal RNA". It matches the Rfam family "Bacterial small subunit ribosomal RNA", at positions 28 to 248 of the family's 1533-position model. The record is from RNAcentral.